AACAUAGCAUGUAGGACCCCUUCCCAGCAGAUGUGGCUUCAAUCCACCUGUCAUCCUUGACCAAAGAGAUACACCCCAUAUUUUAAUAGGUGUAGUCCUACUUGUACAGUUUAUCAAGAUUACUUUAUUUUAUUUUAUUAUUAUACUCCUUCUUUAUCAUAUCCAUAUUUAUUCAAUUAUUCUUUCCUGUGUGAAAAUAAUAUGAAUCACUUAGUUAAUAGCAACACCUUCUUUAGUCCAAUUGCAUUAGAUUAUCAUCACUGUUGUCCUAUUAAAGUAUCAACGUUAUUGUCCUUAUAACCUCCUCAUGAACUUUGAUGUUCUUCAUCCUGAAUGGUAACUGUGUCAGGAUGUUCAUCAUCCUUAAUAAAAAACAAAACUAAAACUAAACUUAAAGAAAAACAAAUUAGCCAUAAUGUGAAUAUCCGCUGCGUGUCUCCCUGUGACUCUCUCCCUCCUUCGGGAGAACACGCUCUCUCUCCCUCCUCAGUACGGGGUGCUGUUUGGUGCAAGACAACAGAUAAGGGUGGAAUGUGGGGGGCGGUGUAGUUGGGGAAGGGUAGGGUUGGAGUGGUCCAGCAGGGGGCGGUGUAGUCGGGGAAGGGCAGGGUUGGAGUGGCCCAGCAGGGGGCGCUGUAGUUGGGGAAGGGUAGGGUUGGAGUGGUCCAGUAGGGGGCGCUGUAGUUGGGGAAGGGCAGGGCUGGAGUGGUCCAGCAGGGGGCGGUGUAGUUGGGGAAGUGCAGGGUUGGAGUUGUCCAGAUUUGGCGGAGGGGGAGGUGUGGCUUGGGACUGAGUGAGAGAACUCAAAAAAUGGCGGCCGUGAUGCUAUAACUCUGUGUGGCCUGUCUAACACACGAGAGCGGAUGAGAGACUAGGGGGUAGCUCUUG
This is a long non-coding RNA of Gadus macrocephalus (Pacific cod), 888 nucleotides long. RefSeq lists it as uncharacterized. The transcript has 2 exons. NCBI's taxonomy places the organism in Eukaryota, Metazoa, Chordata, Actinopteri, Gadiformes, Gadidae. The record is from RefSeq and is a predicted model, not a curated record.